AACGCUAGCUACAGGCUUAACACAUGCAAGUCGAGGGGAAACGAUAUUGGAAGCUUGCUUCCGAUAGGCGUCGACCGGCGCACGGGUGAGUAACGCGUAUCCAACCUGCCCAUCACUUGGGGAUAACCUUGCGAAAGUAAGACUAAUACCCAAUGAUAUCUCAAGAAGACAUCUGAAUGAGAUUAAAGAUUUAUCGGUGAUGGAUGGGGAUGCGUCUGAUUAGCUUGUUGGCGGGGUAACGGCCCACCAAGGCGACGAUCAGUAGGGGUUCUGAGAGGAAGGUCCCCCACAUUGGAACUGAGACACGGUCCAAACUCCUACGGGAGGCAGCAGUGAGGAAUAUUGGUCAAUGGGCGAGAGCCUGGACCAGCCAAGUAGCGUGCAGGAUGACGGCCCUAUGGGUUGUAAACUGCUUUUAUAAGGGAAUAAAGUGAGCCUCGUGAGGCUUUUUGCAUGUACCUUAUGAAUAAGGACUGGCUAAUUCCGUGCCAGCAGCCGCGGUAAUACGGAAGGUCCGGGCGUUAUCCGGAUUUAUUGGGUUUAAAGGGAGCGUAGGCCGGAGAUUAAGCGUGUUGUGAAAUGUAGAUGCUCAACAUCUGCACUGCAGCGCGAACUGGUUUCCUUGAGUACGCACAAAGUGGGCGGAAUUCGUGGUGUAGCGGUGAAAUGCUUAGAUAUCACGAAGAACU
This 689-nucleotide ribosomal RNA is filed under the name uncultured bacterium. Its description in RNAcentral is "bacterial SSU rRNA". It matches the Rfam family "Bacterial small subunit ribosomal RNA", at positions 32 to 708 of the family's 1533-position model. The record is from RNAcentral.